RNAcentral lists this ribosomal RNA (279 nucleotides) under Triticum aestivum (bread wheat). RNAcentral describes it as "partial small subunit ribosomal RNA". Lineage: Eukaryota; Viridiplantae; Streptophyta; Magnoliopsida; Poales; Poaceae. The record is from RNAcentral.
AUGCCCUGUCCACCAAAACAACGAACCCAAAACACCCGACUGCACGGCAUGACAACAUCGAAACAUUGCCACCCAUUGUCAGGGAGGCGUUGCAACAGGAGAAAGAAUAUCCUUGAACCCACACAUCUAGUUGCUUCUUUCUGGUUGCUGCACCUCUUCAAACGCAAAUCAGCAAUGGCCUGCAGUCAUGGUAUUUCAUUCAGGUCUAUAGCAUUUAGAUCAUUGUCGUGUCUUGGUAACCAUCAUGUAUCAGCACCUUGUGCACGUGCAUGCCUGUAA